Long non-coding RNA from Oncorhynchus keta (chum salmon), 1388 nucleotides. RefSeq lists it as uncharacterized. Lineage: Eukaryota; Metazoa; Chordata; Actinopteri; Salmoniformes; Salmonidae. The record is from RefSeq and is a predicted model, not a curated record. The transcript is spliced from 3 exons.
UACGAGGCAGCUGUAAACAUGAAGGUCUAGAUACGAGGCAGCUGUUAACAUGAAGGUCUAGAUACGAGGCAGCUGUAAACAUGAAGGUCUAGAUACGAGGCAGCUGUAAACAUGAAGGUCUAGAUACGAGGCAGCUGUAAACAUGAAGGUCUAGAUACGAGGCAGCUGUAAACAUGAAGGUAUAGAUACGAGGCAGCUGUAAACAUGGAGGUCUAGAUACGAGGCAGCUGUUAACAUGAAGGUCUAGAUACGAGGCAGCUGUAAACAUGAAGGUCUAGAUACGAGGCAGCUGUUAACAUGAAGGUCUAGAUACGAGGCAGCUGUAAACAUGAAGGUCUAGAUACGAGGCAGCUGUUAACAUGAAGGUCUAGAUACGAGGCAGCUGUAAACAUGAAGGUCUAGAUACGAGGCAGCUGUAAACAUGAAGGUCUAGAUACGAGGCAGCUGUUAACAUGAAGGUCUAGAUACGAGGCAGCUGUAAACAUGAAGGUCUAGAUACGAGGCAGCUGUAAACAUGAAGGUCUAGAUACGAGGCAGCUGUAAACAUGAAGGUCUAGAUACGAGGCAGCUGUUAACAUGAAGGUCUAGAUACGAGGCAGCUGUAAACAUGAAGGUCUAGAUACGAGGCAGCUGUAAACAUGAAGGUCUAGAUACGAGGCAGCUGUAAACAUGAAGGAUUCUACUGUUGGAGUGCACAGAGAGGAGACACACACUCACACACACACACACACUGGUUUCUUCUCACACAGGUUGCUAAAAAUACUGUUGUUUUGGUUUGUGCACUGAAAGCCCCUGUCACUGAGGAAUGGGCUGAACUGGGGGGCCGGCCGUGUAGCUGGAAGUCCCACAUCCUACAGAGAGAGUGUCUGUCAACUGGACUGUAAACUACACAUUCCAACACUACACUACACUGGCAGCCUUGGGCUAACUAGGGUACAAAGGACAGUUAGACUGUAGUGUGUAGUGUAGUGUAGUGUAGUGUAGUGUAGUGUAGUGUAGUGUAGUGUAGUGUAGUGUAGUGUAGUGUGUGUAUGUGUAGGGUGAGUAUAGUGUGUGUGUGAAGUGUGUAGUGUAGUGUGUAGGGUGUAGUGUUGUGUAGUGUUGUGUAGUGUGUGUGUAGUGUGUAGUGUAGUGUGUAGGGUGUAGUGUAGUGUAGUGUGUGUGUAGUGUGUAGUGUAGUGUGUAGGGUGUAGUGUGUAGUGUAGUGUAGUGUGUAGUGUGUAGUGUGUAGUGUGUAGUGUAGUGUAUUGUAGUGUGUAGUGUGUGUAUGUGUAGGGUGAGUAUAGAGGAUGUGUGUGUGUGUGUGUGUGUGUGUGUGUGUGUGUGUGUGUGUGUGUGUGUGUGUGUGUGUGUGUGUGUGUGUGUGUGUGUGUGUGUGUGUGUGUGUG